Brassica napus (rape) is the source of this 768-nucleotide long non-coding RNA. RefSeq lists it as uncharacterized. The record is from RefSeq and is a predicted model, not a curated record. The transcript has 4 exons. NCBI's taxonomy places the organism in Eukaryota, Viridiplantae, Streptophyta, Magnoliopsida, Brassicales, Brassicaceae.
GUGCUUACUCCAUAUCUAGCGGGUAUAAUUCAACCCAUAUCCUGCUCAACCCAACACUCGAUUUUAUUGAGGAGUUCAAAGCAAGUCUCCCUGAUGAUUCACUUGCUCUUACGAACAACGAUAGUAGCCAAUGGUCUGUUGGUACUGCUACUUCUAUUCGUGCCAGGUUUUUUGUUCUUAAUGAGAGGCUAACCAUCGGAGAGAUCAUUGAUAGCUCUGUGGUUGGCACUUUUGUUACUCUUGGGACCAUUGAAACAAUUGAUACUGAACGUGGCUGGCAAUAUCUAAGUUGUAAAUACCACAACAAAAAAGUGAUGCCUACAACCAAUGUUGAUGCUGAUGAUCGACCCUUGUUCUUCUGCAAUACGUGUGACAAAGAACACAGUGAUGUUAUUUCCAGGUAUUGAUCGGGUUAGAUAUACAAAAAUAUCAGUUAGGUAGGUCGUCAUUGAAAUAGUCUGUGACGUUUUGUCUUUGGAUUUGUUCAGGUUCAAAUUAAUUGCCAAUGUCAAGAACGAUAGCGGCGAGGCUAAUUUUCUGUUGUUUGAUGCUAAUGCUCAAGCAAUUGUGCGUCAUUCUGCUGCUGAACUCUAUGACGAGAAUGAAGAUGAAGACUUCUUACCUGAAGCAGUGAGCGAUCUCUUUGGUAAGAGAGUCCUUUUUGAGAUUUCAGUUGACGCUGAUAACAUCAAAGGAAAGAGUUCUUAGUAUGUUGUUCGAUUGGCUACUGAUGACCGUGAAAUGGUUGAGGGAUUUGCUGAUUUGCCU